AUGGAACCUCUUGUUGGAUAUUCACCAGAUAAAAGUGAAAAUAUGGUUCUUAUGGGCGGUUUAAGAAAAUACAUUCCAAUCACGAGAACUACUAUUUUACGGGGUACACUUUCUCUUUGUGGUAUUCCACUCUUGCUUGCUUCUGGUCCAAAGAUGAAAUCCACAAUCUUGUUUUUGGUAUAUUUUUGGUGGGAAAGAAGGAAACUUACUCAUGGUGAACCAACCCAGAACAUUGUAAAACUAUAUGUCGAUGAUGCCUUUGAUGCAGACCUAUCAUAUGCAUCAGUCAGAGCUGUGAUACAUGGCAACAAUAGAGAG
RNAcentral lists this ribosomal RNA (318 nucleotides) under Triticum aestivum (bread wheat). RNAcentral describes it as "partial small subunit ribosomal RNA". The record is from RNAcentral. Lineage: Eukaryota; Viridiplantae; Streptophyta; Magnoliopsida; Poales; Poaceae.